CCUACGGGAGGCUGCAGUGGGGAAUAUUGGGCAAUGGGCGCAAGCCUGACCCAGCAAUGCCGCGUGAAGGAAGAAGGCUUUCGGGUUGUAAACUUCUUUGACAGGGGAAGAGCAGAAGACGGUACCCUGAAAACAAGCCACGGCUAACUACGGGCCAGCAGCAGGGGUAAUACGGAGGUGGCAAGCGGUGUCCCGAUUUACUGGGGGGAAAGGGCGGGUAGCCGGGAAGGCAAGUCAUAUGUGAAAGCUGAAGGCUCAACCUCCAAAUUGCAUUUGAAACUGGUUUUCUUGAGUACUGGAGAGGCAGACGGAAUUCCUUGUGUAGCGGUAAAAUGCGUAGAUAUAAGGAGGAACACCAGUGGCGAAGGCGGUCUGCUGGACAGCAACUGACGGUGAGGCGCGAAAGCGUGGGGAGCAAACAGGAUUAGAUACCCGUGUAGUC
This 442-nucleotide ribosomal RNA is filed under the name uncultured bacterium. RNAcentral describes it as "partial 16S ribosomal RNA". It matches the Rfam family "Bacterial small subunit ribosomal RNA", at positions 338 to 795 of the family's 1533-position model. The record is from RNAcentral.